CGCACAUUGCGCCCAAUAGUAUUCUAUUGGGCAUGCCUGUUCGAGCGUCAUUUCAACCCUCAAGCCUGGCUUGGUGUUGGGAAUCUACCGGAUGGGGGGUUGUUACCCUGUAGCACCUACCCUAUAGCGCCUACCCUGUAGCGCGCCUACCCUGUAGUUCCUCAAAUCGAACGGCGGAUCUGUGGUGUCCUCUGAGCGUAGUAGCUAUAUCUCGCUUCUGUCAGGCGCCGCAGCCCCUGCCGCUAAACCCCAACUUUAAAUGGUUGACCUCGGAUCAGGUAGGAAUACCCGCUGAACUUAA
Molecule: unclassified non-coding RNA, 301 nt
Filed under: Tristratiperidium microsporum
Lineage: Eukaryota; Fungi; Ascomycota; Sordariomycetes; Xylariales
Description: partial contains 5.8S ribosomal RNA, internal transcribed spacer 2, and large subunit ribosomal RNA
Source: RNAcentral